Molecule: unclassified non-coding RNA, 404 nt
Filed under: Hevea brasiliensis (rubber tree)
Lineage: Eukaryota; Viridiplantae; Streptophyta; Magnoliopsida; Malpighiales; Euphorbiaceae
Source: RNAcentral
CAAAAAUUGAUCCAAUGAGAGAAAAUUUGGUUAGAUCUUUUAGAUUGAAGUGUUAGUGAACAAAACCUUACCCAUGCCAAUAACAAAAGCAUUAAUUCAAAAAGAGAAUGAAAACCUCCCCUUUACCUCUAUCUAUUUUACUCCCAUUCUCAGGGCUACUAAUGGAAAUAAAUAGCCAGAAAAGAUAUAUUUCACUACAUAAGGCUUGCUGAGUUCAGAUGAAAAUUUGCUCCACUACAUGGUUUUAAAUUGCAGUAGUGGCCACGUUCGUGGUUGCAGGUAACAGAAAUGGACUUGUAAUGGCCGUAACGUAACGGUCAGUCACUACGCAAAUUUUUUUUUUUUGGAAAAAUUUGCAAACUUCAUGAAACAAAUAACUAUUUAAAUAUAUAAUUAAAACUAAG